AUACGGAGGGUGCAAGCGUUACUCGGAAUUACUGGGCGUAAAGCGUGCGUAGGCGGUUUGCUAAGUCAGAUGUGAAAGCCCCGGGCUUAACCUGGGAACUGCAUUUGAUACUGGCAGACUAGAGUAUGAUAGAGGGGGGUAGAAUUCCUGGUGUAGCGGUGAAAUGCGUAGAUAUCAGGAGGAAUACCAGUGGCGAAGGCGGCCCCCUGGAUCAAUACUGACGCUGAGGUACGAAAGCGUGGGGAGCGAACAGGAUUAGAAACCCUAGUAGUCC
RNAcentral lists this ribosomal RNA (274 nucleotides) under uncultured bacterium. Its description in RNAcentral is "partial 16S ribosomal RNA". It matches the Rfam family "Bacterial small subunit ribosomal RNA", at positions 523 to 796 of the family's 1533-position model. The record is from RNAcentral.